Molecule: long non-coding RNA, 430 nt
Organism: Arabidopsis lyrata subsp. lyrata
Lineage: Eukaryota; Viridiplantae; Streptophyta; Magnoliopsida; Brassicales; Brassicaceae
Exons: 3
Source: RefSeq, a predicted model, not a curated record
GGCCAUAUGCAUCGGUGAAAAUGGGCUAUGUUCUUAGAAUAUUUUAAUAAUAAAAAUUGGGCUUCUAAGACUAAGAACUGAGGAAAUGGUCUUGGGCUAGAGCUGUUCCUGGGCUGUUCUCGGCGACACGUGUCAAGCGUUCAUUGGUGUGAAUUUUUGAUAUCGAAAACAUUAUUCAGUUGGGCCAAAAUCGAAAAGAGGCUAGGGUUUUCGAAAAGAGGCUAGGCAACAUUUUGCGACUAAUCCGUAAUGAGAUUAACUACGAACUCGAUCACUCGCCUCCUCUUCAGUUGGAAGAUAUGAAUAUGAAUGAAAAGAGUUGAUGAAAUGGAAUCAUGGUUUAUGAUGGCUCUUGAUUAUAUGAUCCAACUCGCUGAUGACUUGUUAGAGACUAUGGAAACAAGGCCAAUUAUUCCGGAUCGAAAACUAC